Molecule: long non-coding RNA, 426 nt
Organism: Melanotaenia boesemani (Boeseman's rainbowfish)
Lineage: Eukaryota; Metazoa; Chordata; Actinopteri; Atheriniformes; Melanotaeniidae
Exons: 4
Source: RefSeq, a predicted model, not a curated record
CCUGCAAAGGGAGGAGACACCAGCGCAGCAAACGGCAGUAAUCGAUAUUGGUAAAAGAUAAGAAGACUCGACUGUAAAUAAAUAUCCCGGAUCUGUAAGGGAGGAUGCCACUGAGGAAGAAAAUGAAGACCCAUCACUCCUGUAUUCACCAAGCAAAGGUACCACUUCACAUGUUUAUCAUCACCCAGGUCAUCAGAAUGUGGCACCUUGUGAGACUACAUCUUCUGCAUCAUGUACUACACAGGGACAUCCUCAUGAUAUAUCUCAACAUCCGGCAGAUGGACCCAGACAGCCACACUUGAAGGUAUUUCCUCGAACAGUACAUGGUGAAAAGAAGAGGGCCUUCAACAAGACAUGGUAUUCACAGCACAAAUGGCUUGAAUAUUCACAAAGUCGGGACUCUGUCUAUUGUUUUGCAUGUAGACA